This 301-nucleotide ribosomal RNA is filed under the name uncultured bacterium. RNAcentral describes it as "partial 16S ribosomal RNA". It matches the Rfam family "Bacterial small subunit ribosomal RNA", at positions 509 to 807 of the family's 1533-position model. The record is from RNAcentral.
CAGCAGCCACGGGAACACAGAGGGUGCGAGCGUUAAUCGGAUUUACUGGGCGUAAAGCGUGCGUAGGCGGCUUCUUAAGUCGGAUGUGAAAUCCCUGAGCUUAACUUAGGAAUUGCAUUCGAUACUGGGAAGCUAGAGUAUGGGAGAGGAUGGUAGAAUUCCAGGUGUAGCGGUGAAAUGCGUAGAGAUCUGGAGGAAUACCGAUGGCGAAGGCAGCCAUCUGGCCUAAUACUGACGCUGAGGUACGAAAGCAUGGGGAGCAAACAGGAUUAGAUACCCGAGUAGUCCCUGUCUCUUAUAC